This 558-nucleotide ribosomal RNA is filed under the name uncultured bacterium. Its description in RNAcentral is "partial 16S ribosomal RNA". It matches the Rfam family "Bacterial small subunit ribosomal RNA", at positions 355 to 902 of the family's 1533-position model. The record is from RNAcentral.
UGGGGAAUUUUGGACAAUGGGCGAAAGCCUGAUCCAGCAAUGCCGCGUGUGUGAAGAAGGCCUUCGGGUUGUAAAGCACUUUUGUCCGGAAAGAAAUCCUUGGCUCUAAUACAGUCGGGGGAUGACGGUACCGGAAGAAUAAGCACCGGCUAACUACGUGCCAGCAGCCGCGGUAAUACGUAGGGUGCAAGCGUUAAUCGGAAUUACUGGGCGUAAAGCGUGCGCAGGCGGUUUGCUAAGACCGAUGUGAAAUCCCCGGGCUCAACCUGGGAACUGCAUUGGUGACUGGCAGGCUAGAGUAUGGCAGAGGGGGGUAGAAUUCCACGUGUAGCAGUGAAAUGCGUAGAGAUGUGGAGGAAUACCGAUGGCGAAGGCAGCCCCCUGGGCCAAUACUGACGCUCAUGCACGAAAAGCGUGGGGAGCAAAACAGGAUUAGAUACCCUGGUAGUCCACGCCCUAAAACGAUGUCAACUAGUUGUUGGGGAUUCAUUUCCUUAGUAACGUAGCUAACGCGUGAAGUUGACCGCCUGGGGAGUACGGUCGCAAGAUUAAAAACUU